UUGUGCCAACAAUAGCCGAACUACUUCUCCUUUACCCAUUCUCCAAAAAGAUUCCUUGGAAACAACAUAACAAUAAUCUUUGUCUUCGUCUUGUUGAAUACUGGAGCUUGGAAUAACAUGAGUUUCAGUUGUUGUUCUUGUUCCACUGGGCAUCUCACCAUAAAAGUAAGAUAAGUCAUUGGAAUAACGAUGGCGGAAGAGAAGCAUGAUUGGGGAUACUAUGAGAUCAAAAUGAGGAACAAG
RNAcentral lists this unclassified non-coding RNA (243 nucleotides) under Hevea brasiliensis (rubber tree). Lineage: Eukaryota; Viridiplantae; Streptophyta; Magnoliopsida; Malpighiales; Euphorbiaceae. The record is from RNAcentral.